RNAcentral lists this ribosomal RNA (468 nucleotides) under uncultured bacterium. RNAcentral's name for it is "partial 16S ribosomal RNA". It matches the Rfam family "Bacterial small subunit ribosomal RNA", at positions 28 to 507 of the family's 1533-position model. The record is from RNAcentral.
GACGAACGCUGGCGGCGUGCUUAACACAUGCAAGUCGAACGGAAAGGCCCUGCUUUUGUGGGGUGCUCGAGUGGCGAACAGGUGAGUAACACGUGAGUAACCUGCCCUUGACUUUGGGAUAACUUCAGGAAACUGGGGCUACUACCGGAUAGGAGCUCCUGCUGCAUGGUGGGGGUUGGAAAGUUUCGGCGGUUGGGGAUGGACUCGCGGCUUAUCAGCUUGUUGGUGGGGUAGUGGCUUACCAAGGCUUUGACGGGUAGCCGGCCUGGGAGGGUGACCGGCCACAUUGGGACUGAGAUACGGCCCAGACUCCUACGGGAGGCAGCAGGGGGGAAUAUGGCACAAUGGGCGGAAGCCUGAUGCAGCAACGCCGCGUGCGGGAUGACGGCCUUCGGGUUGUAAACCGCUUUCGCCUGUGACGAAGCGUGAGUGACGGUAAUGGGUAAAGAAGCACCGGCUAACUACGUG